GCAUAUCAAUAAGCGGAGGAAAAAGAAACCAACCGGGAUUGCCUCAGUAACGGCGAGUGAAGCGGCAAGAGCUCAAAUUUGAAAGCUGGCCCCUCCGGGGUCCGCAUUGUAAUUUGCAGAGGAUGCUUCGGGCUCAGCCCCCGUCUAAGUGCCCUGGAACGGGCCGUCGGAGAGGGUGAGAAUCCCGUCUGGGACGGGGUGCCUGGGUCCAUGUGAAGCUCCUUCGACGAGUCGAGUUGUUUGGGAAUGCAGCUCUAAAUGGGUGGUAAAUUUCAUCUAAAGCUAAAUACUGGCCGGAGACCGAUAGCGCACAAGUAGAGUGAUCGAAAGAUGAAAAGCACUUUGAAAAGAGAGUUAAACAGCACGUGAAAUUGUUGAAAGGGAAGCGCUUGCGAUCAGACUCGCCUGCGGGGUUCAGCCGGCAUUCGUGCCGGUGUACUUCCCCGUGGGCGGGCCAGCGUCGGUUCGGGUGGCCGGUCAAAGGCCCCGGGAAUGUGUCGCCCUCCGGGGCGUCUUAUAGCCCGGGGUGCCAUGCGGCCUACCUGGACCGAGGAACGCGCUUCGGCUCGGACGCUGGCGUAAUGGUCGUAAGCGACCCGUCUUGAAACACGGACCAAGGAGUCUAACAUCUACGCGAGUGUUUGGGUGGCAAACCCAUACGCGCAGUGAAAGCGAACGGAGGUGGGAACCCUUCGGGGCGCACCAUCGACCGAUCCUGAUGUCUUCGGAUGGAUUUGAGUAAGAGCGUAGCUGUGGGGACCCGAAAGAUGGUGAACUAUGCCUGAAUAGGGCGAAGCCAGAGGAAACUCUGGUGGAGGCUCGCAGCGGUUCUGACGUGCAAAUCGAUCGUCAAAUUUGGGUAUAGGGGCGAAAGACUAAUCGAACCAUCUGGUAGCUGGUUCCUGCCGAAGUU
Molecule: ribosomal RNA, 913 nt
Filed under: Monascus ruber
Lineage: Eukaryota; Fungi; Ascomycota; Eurotiomycetes; Eurotiales; Aspergillaceae
Description: LSU rRNA
Rfam family: Eukaryotic large subunit ribosomal RNA
Source: RNAcentral